This is a long non-coding RNA of Solanum tuberosum (potato), 903 nucleotides long. RefSeq lists it as uncharacterized. NCBI's taxonomy places the organism in Eukaryota, Viridiplantae, Streptophyta, Magnoliopsida, Solanales, Solanaceae. The transcript has 4 exons. The record is from RefSeq and is a predicted model, not a curated record.
AUUCAACUAGUUAAAAAAGCACUAUACUUUAUUAUAAAAAAACACUGUGUGAAAAUAUUAACAAAAAUAUCAUCUUUAGGAAUUCAAAUCAGCUCUUCAACUAUACAUCCAUGACACAGAAACAAAUUAGCGAAACUCCAUUUGUAAAUUCCAGAAAUUGGGUAGAAAACAGAAGAUCUGAAUAACCCCCAACAACAAAUUGCACCGAUCAAGUGUUCGAUUUAAGUCAUUUUGAGAGUUUCUCUUUUAACUGCUUGAUGUUUUUAUAUUGUUAUCUUUGCUAAUAAGUGGACAGUUGACUACUACUCUUUCACUUUACGCAGGCAAAGAUUCCUGACAUAGAGAAAUGCUUGGAUAUAGUUGCUACUUUGCAAGCUAAGAAGGACAACAGUGAGACUAUUGUUGUAACUACGAGACGCGUCCUGGAAAGAUUAGCGGUCCAAUAUGUCUCACAAUGCAUGGCAUGGAAGCUUUUAAAAGAUGUUCCCAAGUCAGCUGCACGUAAGGCUCAAAGGAGAAUGUCUAGUAUGAUCUACUUUUGCAGUGUUACAAAAACAACAUGCAGAGGUCAUUUUCUGGGAGUUUUGGCAUCAUGGUUUGUGCAAGUUGGCAUCUUUACUAUAAUUACAGUUUUCAGGAUGUGCUUUGGAGAUGUGUCUGGACCAAUCAUUGUAGCCUUUUGUUUUGACAAAGUUCUUCAUUUGGAAUUGCGAUGACUCUCUUCUUGGUUAAUAUAAGGAUCAUGUGGUUGAUCUAGAGCCCCCCUUACCUCAAAGAAGUGCAAUUCAGUGCUUCUGUAUGACUCAAGGUUGCUUUAGCUCUAGAAUAAUAUUUGUCAUAGAUACACGGUACACUAACCAAUUUAUGACAUUACGAGUACUUUUUUGGGACUCAAUUUCAUGC